This 10519-nucleotide long non-coding RNA is filed under the name Aquilegia coerulea. RNAcentral's name for it is "long non-coding RNA (ACOE_LNC000229)". Lineage: Eukaryota; Viridiplantae; Streptophyta; Magnoliopsida; Ranunculales; Ranunculaceae. The record is from RNAcentral.
AUCAUGCUUCAUAUAAAAAAAGGUGAAGGAGAUGGUGGAUCAAUCAGUGAGAAAGAAAUCAGGUUCAGAUAAUUAAAACUCCUCAUAUUAUUCUAUAUUGGGAAAAUCACUCUAAAAUUAUUUUAUUAUGGGUGUCAAAGCGAUCUUGUGUGUGUGUGUGUGGGGGGGGUGGUGUCCUAGUAUCAAAUCAGAAUAUAUAAACCUCUUACAAUCUUAUCAAAAUUGUACUGAAACUAAAUAAAUUCAAAAAAAAAAAAAAAAAAAUGUAAGAAAAAAAAUAGAAUGUGUUUAAGGAAAAUCCAAUACCCAGUGUGGUGCUAUUGGGGUUGAGAAACCUCCAUUUGCGCUAAUAAGUGUAAACAAGAACAAUGAUCUCCUACUUUCUCUUUAAAGUAUCAGUACUUCAAUAUAAUAAUAAAAUUUUAUAUUUGGUGUGGGAUUUGUGGGACCAAUAAAACACUGCCAUGUAUGGGUGUUGUUAACCCUAGUGAUAUUUGAACAUUUUUGGUAAUUUUAUAGACAUGUGGAAAUUUUUUAUUAAUCCCAUAAGCCCACACCGAAAAAUCACAACAUAUAAAUUUCUUGUUAAAUAUAAGAUAAAAAAUUGAUCCAAAGGAAGUACUGGGCUUCUUUUCAUGAAAGAAUGAUCUUCGCAGGUUUCUUAAUAGGCACAAUGACAUGAAACUAUUGAUAAAAUCAUAGAAAGAACGGAGUUCCAAGGUUAGUGUGUGAGGUACAGUACUAAAGAUUAUGAAUCUGUGAUCAGAAGGUUUUCUCAAUUAUGUCUAGUGCAGGAUGGGUUUUGGCAAUGUAUCUAGAAAUUAGCCGCUACUGUCCCUUUCUCCAUUCCGAUCAAUCUUUCAGUAUCGUAAAAUAUCUAGACUUAUUUAACUAUGGUAACCUACGCAAAUGUAAAGAAACAACUCUUUUUUAAUUCUUUCACAGAAAAUGUCAUACAAUAAUUUGUGGGAAAUUAUAUGACUUCGCAACUCUUCCAAAGUUUGACUUGAUAAAAACUUAUUAUUUCAUUAUUUAUAACCAAAAAAAUCCUAAACAACCCAUCAUUCUAAACAAAAUCUAAACACUGAUACACCUAUAAAAAUCAUACAAGUUAACAAACAAACAAUACCCAAAUCUUCAGUAAUAAAAAAAAUUCCAUAUUGAAGUUGAAACACAUGCGUUGAAGUUUUUCUUUUAGACAUUUCAACAAACAAUAAAAACCCAUCAUUUUAUUUACAUCAAAGCACCACCUUGUGAUAUGUGAAUUGAUUUCCAAAGCUGUUUAAACCUUAAAGCGACAAUAUACAAGAGAGAGAGAGAGAGAGAGAGAGAGAGAGAGAGAGAGAGAGAGAGAGCUUACAACUUAGUUGGGGUGGUCGAAUUGCAGAUGAUUUUCAAAGAGAGAGAGAGGGAGAGAGAGAGAGAGAUCAGAGUCUGAUCAUUAGACUAGGGCUGGCAAAAUGACCCGUGACCUGUUAACCCGACACGAACCCGACCCGAUAUAAACAGGUUUGGGUUCAGCCUUAUCGGGUUGGCGGGUCAUUUUGACCCGAACCUGUUAACCUGUUUAUUAUACAUGUCAGGUUCAGGUCUGACCAUUAGCAGGUCGGGUCAAACCCGAAACCCGUGAAGUAAACCCUAAAUUUUAGCCCAUAUAUAAAACACCCCAUUUUUUUCACUCUUCUUUGUUCCUCCUUGGCCGUAACAACUAACAAAAGAUUGAUUCUCUGUUUGGUUCUCUUCCUUCUUUGGGUAAUUUCCCGAAUAAGCAUAGGUUUAUCAACUUUCUUCCCAAAUCAGCACAUUUGACUGCAAUCUUCCCCAACAAGCACAUUUCUCGGUUUGAUUUUUCAAUUGGACAUUUCUACCCUUAUGACAGCUUUAAGCCGUCACAUCAUAUCUUUUGUUUGAUUGAUUUUUCUCUCUCAUCAUUCAAUUCAGCAAACUAAACUCUCGCCGUUAGAUGAAAAAGCAUCUUUGAUUACCACCGUUGGAUGAAAUAACACAGAAACCAGCAUUCUCAAUCCUCCACACCACACUACUCUAUCCUCCACCCAAAAAAGACAAAAACAGCUGUCUUACCUUAAAAGAGAAGUAAACCAAACUUUUCUCUGUUCUUCUUCUUCACCUUCUUUGUUCAUCACAGAGAAUGAACAAGAAGAUAACCUCUUUUCAUCAGAUCACAUUCUCUUUGUCGUAAAGCUUCGAUUUUUUUUUUUUUGACGUUGGGGUUUUCAUCGGUAAUAUGUUCAUCAUGGGAAAAAAAGGAAACAAUAAGGGCAAGCAAGUUAUGAACGUUUUUCAGAUUCCUGGUAAGUUUUGAGGUUUGAAGGAAGGUUGUUCAUUUAUAAUGGUAAUGGGGGGUUUGAUUUCAGUGGCAUCAAUACCAAUCAUUGGUAUUAAAGUUGUUUUCUUAGGUUUCAAUCUCAGUGACAUUAAAGUAUUCACUCACACACACCCACCAGCUUAAAUGCAAGCAUUCAAUUGUGGGUGGGGUUUCAACUCUAGUUGAUUGUUGGGUUGGGGGUAUGAAAACCCCAGAAUUUGGUUUAUGGGUUUCUAGUAUGUUGUUUUCAAGCUUUAAAUCACUAGUGUCUACCGUGUAUUGCUCUUUGUCUCUGUUUUUAUGGGGGGUUUUGAAGUUUUUUAUCUAAUGAUUAGAAGAUCUAAAAGUGGGUUUAUCAUGUGGUACUGAUUAUCACUUUGACAUACAUUCUUAAAUUUGCUAGGAAUAUGGGUCUCAUCCUCCAAAGCACAUGAAAAACUUAUGGAUGUUGGGCCUUUAGAAAAGUGGGCAAGUGCUUUCCAAGAGAAAUCCAGGUAAGUUUGCUAACAUAUUUCUAUGUACGCUAUAAUACAAAUCCUAUCCAGUACUAUAAGGUUGCUAUCUUUUACAUUGAUUUUGCAGAUAUGGAAUUGUAACAACAAAUCAUGUGGAGAGCUGGAACAAAAUGAUCAUUGGAGAAAGAAUGAUGCCAGUUACUACCAUUGUUUCAAUGAUACGAGAUAAUGUAAUUAGGCAUUAUCGAGAUUAUCACAAUGAUUCUUUGAAGUUCAAUUCACCUGUCACAACAUGGUGUCAAGAGCAAAUAGUGCACAAUGCUGCAGUUGCAAGAAAGUGCACACUUGAAAGAGCUUCAGCAGGUAUUUGGUCUGUUAGAGGGCUUAAAAGGUCAUGUGUGGUUGACCUUAACAAAAGAACAUGUACAUGCAAAUGGUUUCAAACCAUGGGGAUACCAUGUGAGCAUGCCAUGGCAGCUAUAAAGGAAGUUGGAUUUGAUCCAUACAAAUUUGUUGAGGUUUACUACUUGAAGGAAACAUACAUAGAAACUUAUAGAGAAAAAUGGACACCCACAAGAGGGAAGGAAGAAUGGCCAACCGACAGACAAAGAAGAAGAAUUCUUCCACCACUAAAAACUUCAAAGGCAGGGCGUCCUAAAACAGCCAGGAAGAGAGGUAAAGCUGAGGGUAUCCCUGUCCAGAGUAGGCGAUGUUCAAUGUGUAGAGUCAGAGGUCAUAACAAAUCAACUUUUCUUGAAUGUGUAGAUGACUAUCAACUCUUCAGUCACACCCUAUUUGGUGAAGGGCCACCACUAAGCCCUGUUCCAGCUACAAUCUAAGUACUGAAAUGGGUUUUGUAAUUUUUUGGGAAUGUAUCUUCCACAUACAUCGUUCUAUCCUCUACAUAUAGCCUGUUAUCCGUUGCCUUUAUUUUGUAUUGAUUUUCAUGUUAUAUAAGGGUAGGGGCUUAAAAUCCAACCUAUUUUUGACAGGAAAACACUCUUGUUAUCGUAUGUUUUAUCAGUGAUACUUGAGUGUUACCUUUUUUGGUUGUUAGGUUUUCUGCAUAGAUUGUCUACUAUGCAUUGCAGUGAUGUCCGCUAUGUUGGUACUACCUAACGGCUACCAUAUAUUUGUGUAUCCUCUACAAUUCAAACAUAAAGAACAGGAACAAUAUAGGUUCACAAACAACCAAAUAAGAACAGUGACAAUCAUUCACAACCAUGAACAUAGAUUCAUAAACAACCACAUAAAAAACAUUGGGUUCAUAAACAACCAAAUAAACAUGUCUUCAAACAACCAAAUAAAAUGUAUAGCAUACAAUACAAACAACAAAUAACUAAACUUUGCUCUUGUUUUUGGAAGAGGGAGAUUCCCCUAUAUCAAUUAGGUCUCUGGCAAUACGAUAGCGCAUCUGAAGAGGAUUUGCAUCGAAAUGAGGUGGUAUUCCUCGAAGCACGCAUUCGACGAAGGCAAGGAGGAAUAAUCCACAGCUACAACCAUCUGGUUGUUCAGCACACUUAACAUACUCACGCUUCCACUUCAUAUCCAGUUUGAGUUGAACCUGUGAUGGAUCAGCAGCAAAAACAACAUAUGGCAAAAACUUUUCCAUGUUUCUCAAUUCAGGUAUACCCCUUGUCAUUCCCAAAGAAUCAUAGAUUCUAACAAUUUUCUCACUAAAAUUGAAAGAAAGCAGAAUCCAGUGGUUAUCAUUCACCUACAAAUAACACAUAUAUACAUAUCACUAGUGGCAAAUAGAAAUAAUAAAAUAGAGGAUAAUUUAUGACAUGUAGAGGUUGUGGAGGAAAGUAUGAAAUAUACCUGUAAUGGGAUGAGAAGUGUCUUUGCUUUCACAGGGUGAACUUGAUUUUUGAGACCUACCCAUGGAUCAACAAUUGAACUACAGCCUGAUGAAAUUUGGAAACGCCCAGAUGUCACUCUUUCCUGAGGAUUCAUUUUGGCAAAACUCUUAUCUUUCAUCAGUUUGUCGUAUUCAGGCAUCACAUCACACUUGAUUUUGGUCUACAAAAAGGAAAAAUAAUUCUUCAAACAGCUCAGAAUUGAAGGUUAUAAUUACUAGGUAGAAUAAGGGAACAAGGUACUUACAUGUAGAUAUACUGUUGAAACAAUAGCAUAUUGAUCUUCAUCCCUAAAGUAAUAUGGCCUCAUGAUACCAUACCAACGAAUGAGCAGCCUGAGAUAGAUGUCAAUAAUCUCAUCAUUAAGCCAAUUACCUUUGUAGAGUGUGUUGUAGGCAUUCACUGAGCAUGAAGCCAGAAAACCAUAACUUCUCAUGGGGACUCUACUCCACUUUGGGUCAGAAACCAAACUCCAAAAGUAGUGACAAAGUUUUGUAUCAUCCUCUUCCACUUGUCUACUGAAGAAUGGUUCUUUCAUUAUCUCUGACAUCCUUGCAUUACACCUAAGGCCCAAAGAAACCUCUUCAGCUUCCAUGUUUUGAUAAGUUUUGGCUUCCCUUUUCCUCUUUGCCACUCUUAAUGCUUGCAGGUCAAAUUUUGUAUCCUUCUCAUCAUCAUCAGAUUCACUUACACCAAGAAUGAGAACACUCUUCCUGCCUGAUGACUCCUGAAUAUCUGAUGCAGUAGGUGUUUCAAGUCUAUACUGUUGAGGUACAUCUUCUCUAUUAACCACCACAUCAGUAUGAUGAUCACAUCCACCAUUGUCAUCAUCAUCCCCAUCAUCAUUCUUAUCAUCAUUCUUCUUAUCAUCAUCCUCCCUACCAUCAUCUUUUUCAUCAUCAUCCUGCUUAUCAUCCUCCUCCUUACCAUCAUCUUUUUUAUCAUCAUCAGUAUCAUCAUCCUGCUUAUCAUCAUCUUCUUCUUCACUAUCCCCAGAUUCAACAGUUGUAGAAGAUGCCUCAAUGCUUUUAGCCUUGGAACCAGACAAUGUAGCGGAUGAAACCUCAGUUGUAGCCGUUUCAGUUGCCUCUGUUGUUACCUUUGUCGUUGUAGCGGAUGGAUCCUCCUUUCUAGCCGACACUAUAUCUUCUGUAGCGGAUGCAGAAGGAUCGCCACCCUUUGUACUUGAAUCAUUAGGUUUACCUUCUUCAUUCACUUCAGCUUUCUCGCCCAUCAGUACAGAAAGACCUUGGAGUUUUGACAUUGCCUUGGCAAGAGGAUCAGGUACACCUCUCAAGUUAUUCAAUACAUCCACAAUGGACUCCUGGUCAUCUGAUGAAUGAUCAUCACUCCAAAAAGACAACUUUCUUACUUUCUUACUGCUGGGGACUUCAUCAUCAUCUGACUGUAUCUUCCUUGACUUUUUUUCCUUCAGCUUCUUUGCCUCCCUUCUCUUUCUUAAUUCUUUCCUCCAACUAAGAUCAAAGGCAUCACCUUUAACCUUCCUUUCAGGUUGAUGCCUUAUAAUAGGAAACAACAUCUCUGCUCUCUUCCUUUUUUUCUCUUCUUUCUCUAUCUGUUUCUCUCCAGCCUGUUGGUCAUUUUGUUCUUCAUCAUUAAAAUCAAACACGGGAAAAUGUCGGUCUAAUGGUAACAUGUCAUCAUCACUCCCCCCUACUGUAUUUUUACCCUCUUCUAUUUGAUCAUUCUGUGGAGCUGCCUUAUCUUCAUCCUGCUUCCCCAUAUCCACAAUGGACAUCUUCUUUUUACGCUUCUCCAUUUCUUCAGAUUCCCCCUUCUUUGAAUUUUUCUUCUUCUUCUUGUUAUCCUUCUCCCCCUCCUCUGAUCUUUUCCUCUUUAUCCCCUUAUCCCCUUCAGAUUUUGGUGGUUGAGGUUCCCUUCUUUUUACCUCAUAAUUAAAAGACAAAGAGCUUUUACUCCUGGUGGUUCUAACUGUUGUCUGUGCUGGUAUAGGCUCUUCCUCCAUCUUCUUAUAAUCAAUAAUUUUGGGCUGUGGGGAAUCACUCACUGUUGUGGCUUGGGGGGGUUUCUGCUUGGGAGGUAUCUUCACCCUCCCAAUAGGUUUGGGUAGAGCACUAACUUUCUUGGUUGGUACAAUGGGUUUCUUGGGUGAAACAAUUGUUUUCUUGGAUGGAAUUGUUUGUUUCCUUGUUGAAACUGUUGGUGAAACUUGGGAUGCAAUACUUGAUCUGGUUGCCCUUUUUGGAGGACUUGGCAAAGGAUUGGUCUUUUUGACUGAUUUGGGUUUGAGAGUUGGCUUUGAGGGGGAACUUAUCUUCUUCUUACUUUUACUUGUCUUCUUUGAUGCCCCUUUACCAAUCUGUGCAAACACACCUUUAACAGCUACAUCAGCAUCACUGCUUUUGUCAGAAACCAUCCCUGCCUCACGACCCUUCAAAAAUAAUGCAAUAAGAUUGUAGAGGAUAAACCCAACAUUAUAGAAAACAUCAUUCAAAUAUUUAAAGGAUAUAUUAUGUUAACAUUCAAAUUAUAGAGGUUUCAAGGUUUCAACGUUUCAAGGUUUAAAGUUUUUGUAUAUGACUUCAUUCAAAUUAAACAACAUUUAAAGUUUAAAGAGUAUAUUAUGUUAACAAAUUAUAAAGAGUAUACAGAAACAAGGUAACGGAUAGAACUGUAUAACAUAGAGGAAAACAAUCACAAUGUAGACGAUAUACCAAAACAUAUUAAUAUUGAUCAACUAGAGGUUUUAGAAUAUAUGUAUUCAAUGUAAUAAGUAAGAAACCUAUAAAGAAGAUAAGUUAUUCAUGGUUUCAGAUAGAAUUUCAAAGUAGUAGUAACAACAUACCAUUUCAAAGACUCCUUUGAGAAUUGCCUCAAGAGCAUUUCUUUCAAGUGUAAUAAAAUUGGAAGAACUUGUUGUUGCAGAUGAUUGGUGAGAUGGACGAACUAGCCUAGAAACUGGCCUUGAAGAAGCAGACUCUUCAUAUUCUGCUUGUGCUUGAGCCUGAAACUGGAAUUAACAUGUAACGGAUAAGUAUAUAUCUGUAGAGGAUAGAGAAAACAAAGUAGGGGAUAUUGAAAAUACAGCAACAUAAAGAUGACUUACUUCUUCAACCACUUGUAAAUUUGCUGCAGCUCUUUCUUGCAGAGUGAUAUCCAGUGGAUAGGCCACAUUAAUGAAGCCUUUCUUGGGGUGAAAUUUCUCAGAAAGUUUGUCCCUACUUUUGUUCCUAGUGGGCAAAUCAUACCAUCCUAACAUCCUUGGAAAAGGAGAGUUGGGAAUCUUUCUGGGACCAAGAUCUGGGAGAUGCAAAUAUGUCCAAAUAAUGAAUGCAAACACACAUCCAUUGAUACAAUAGUUUUGUACACCAUCAACAAUUUUUGUAUACACAUCUUCUAAAUUGCUCUCAAGCAAUUUGAAUGCAGCAGUACCCCAUGAAAAAUCAUCAAAAUCUACCAAAUUUUCAGCAAGAUCGACAUACCUUACAUCAAUUGUUUUGGAUGAAUCAGCAAGCAGAAAAAUUGCAAGAAAAUACAACCUGUUCAACCUAUUGACAUCAUCUGGAUUAGCAUCUUCGGCUUCUCUUGCUUCUUUAAUUGCAUCAAGGAUAUGAGAAUCUCUGAUGUGUAGGUUAGUCUGGAAGUAUUUCGAUCUGAAGGCACUAUAUUCACUUUGCUUCCUAACAACAAAAUCAACAGGUAAAUGCCCAAAUUUCAAAGGCCCCAAAAUCAAAGCAAGAUCUGUCAUUUUGAACUCAAUCACUCUACCCCCAAUUGAAUACUUCAGUCGACCAACCCUAUUUGAAACAAUUUCUGUAACUACCGAAGUUAUCAUGGAGAUUUUUUCUUGUCCCUCCAAACUCAAAAACUGCCCAAAAGGGAAAUUUUUAAAAGAUUCUAACUCAUUGGGGGGCAAUUUUUCGUUUGGGUUUAGAUAGUGGGCUUCAAACUUAGAUGGUGAGCAUCUCACAGUGAUGCUAAAUUUUCUACUGACUUCAUCGCCUUCAAUUUUUUUCUUCGGCAUGAUUAUGUAGAAAUUAGAAUGGAAGAUGGAAAAUUAGAAGAUGAUUGUGUAGAAAUUAGAAGAUGAUUGUGUAGAAAUGGAAGAUGGGAAAGAAAUUAGAAGAGUUAUGAGCAGUUUAAUGGAAGAAGAAUCGGUUUAAGAAGAAAAAAGAGUGGGUGGUUGUGGAUUCUGAAUCGGUGUGAAAACCCUAGGUUAAGUAUCACUCUACCUGUUCCCGCUCGAUUUUCCCGCCCAAUUAAAACCCAACGGUUAAUGACACGUGGCGCUGAGUGGCUGUUGUUUACUGUAGCAGAUGCUUGUUUAAAAUUUCAAAUUGUAGAGGAAAUAACAUCUACUUGUGGAGGAUAGGAAUUAGCAAAUUAUAUCCAACGGUUGUAACUUAUUAUCAUGAUCCAAUGGUUGUAAUCUACUGUCAUGUCAUUAUCUAAGAUGUCACAUCUACUGAAAACCUAUUGAAAACCUAUUAAAAGAAAUGAUUAUAGGCUAAAGGGUAUAAUAGGAAACAAAAUAUGCUAAAAGACAAAAAUUCAGCAAGUCAAACCGAGAAAUGUGCUUGUUGGGGAAGAUUGCAGUUAAAUGUGCUGAUUUAGGAAGAAAGUUGAUAAACCUAUGCUUAUUCAGGAAAUUGCCCUUUUUUUUUUGAUCUUUUAUUCUACUAAGCAAGCAGUAAUCUCUCUCAAGUUUCAAAUAUUGAUCUCAAUUUUGUCUAAAGAAAACUUCAAGUGAGUUACUCUUCAUAGUCGAUUUUGAUUUUAAAUCUUAGUUCUACUAAACCCUAGUUCGAAAUUUCAUCAUCAUAGAUUUAUCUAGUAUUUUUAUUUUUGUACAAAUAUAAAUAAUUGUUAUAAAGGCAUGUUUCCCCCUUCAGUUCUAUGUAUAAUUAAAUUUCAUGACCAUAGAUUCAUGCAGUGUUUGAUUUUCUUUAUUUUAAAACCCCAUCUUGAUUAUGGUUUGGAUUGUGAUGAUUGUCUUAGCCUUGAUAGAAUCAUCAGGGUUUUUAUAGCAGCAAUUUUCUUUUGCUGGUCUAUUAAUAGCACUAUAUCACCUUCUAAUUUUACACAAGUUAAACAUGAAGAUCAUUGUGUUGCACAUCUAGCUCUCCAUUAGUGAAUGAACUUAACUUCACAUUCAGUUUCACUGACAUUUGCAUGACUUGGACGUCGACUUUGUCUAGCUAUAUCAUUAGUUAUAUUCUUGUUGAAUUAUUGUGAGUCUGUGAUAUAUGUUUUGUUUGGUAAAUGUGAAAUAUGUUUUGAAAAUUAAUUUUUGAAAUGUUAUUGAUAUGGUGGUAUUCAAACAAAUAUUUUUUUCUAUGUAAAAGUCCAAUGUACUGAUGUGUAAUGGUAUUGUGUUUAGUAUUCGUUUUUUUUACAUGGACAAUAUUUAACAUAUCCAUUUCUGAAUUUCACUACAAUGGUUGUUAAAUGCCCUCUAGGGACACUUCCUGAUUACAAUGAAGUAGCGAGUCCAUGCUUUGGUGUUAGACUUUUACUAAUGUUGUUCCUGGUUUUUCAAUUUGGCAGGUUACACUAGAGCUACCAACAAACAGUACUUAGUGCAAAGAGUCAAUAAAAUGGUGAACUAUCUUGAAGACAUGGACAUAUGGGAAAAUGUUCUUGGGAAGUGUAUGGAUGAUUGCUUGUAGCGGCACAACGUGUUCAAUUGUGUUCAUUGCUUGUUGUUUGUUUUUCUAUUUUACGAACUUUGUAUUAUUUCAUGAGAAAUUUUUGUUAAACUUUUAUUGUGAUUUAUUAGGCUUCUGUUGUAUUAAACUUUGUGUUGUUAAACUGUUGUACAAGUUUUAAAUGAAUGGAAGGCAUGCUGUUAAUGAAAAUCAUAUUAACUUAGUUUAACAGGUUACAAGUUUGAUGGG